GAUCCUGGCUCAGGAUGAACGCUGGCGGCGUGCUUAACACAUGCAAGUCGAACGAAGCGCUUAAGACAGAUUCUUCGGAUGAAGUCUUUUGUGACUGAGUGGCGGACGGGUGAGUAACGCGUGGGUAACCUGCCUCAUACAGGGGGAUAACAGUUAGAAAUGACUGCUAAUACCGCAUAAGCGCACAGGGUCGCAUGACCUGGUGUGAAAAAACUCCGGUGGUAUGAGAUGGACCCGCG
RNAcentral lists this ribosomal RNA (239 nucleotides) under uncultured bacterium. RNAcentral describes it as "partial 16S ribosomal RNA". It matches the Rfam family "Bacterial small subunit ribosomal RNA", at positions 15 to 235 of the family's 1533-position model. The record is from RNAcentral.